GACGAACGCUGGCGGCGUGCUUAACACAUGCAAGUCGAGCGGAAAGGCUCCUUCGGGGGUACUCGAGCGGCGAACGGGUGAGUAACACGUGAGUAAUCUGCCCUUGGCUUCGGGAUAGCCACCGGAAGCGGUGAUUAAUACCGGAUACGACAACUUCUCGCAUGGGAUGGUUGUGGAAAGUUUUUUCGGCCAGGGAUGUGCUCGCGGCCUAUCAGCUUGAUGGUGAGGUAAUGGCUCACCAUGGCUUCGACGGGUAGCCGGCCUGAGAGGGUGACCGGUCACACUGGGACUGAGACACGGCCCAGACUCCUACGGGAGGCAGCAGUGGGGAAUAUUGGACAAUGGGCGGAAGCCUGAUCCAGCAACGCCGCGUGAGGGAUGACGGCCUUCGGGUUGUAAACCUCUCUCGGUAGGGACGAAGCGCAAGUGACGGUACCUACUAAAGAAGCACCGGCCAACUACGUGCCAGCCGCCGCAGUAA
RNAcentral lists this ribosomal RNA (481 nucleotides) under uncultured bacterium. Its description in RNAcentral is "partial 16S ribosomal RNA". It matches the Rfam family "Bacterial small subunit ribosomal RNA", at positions 28 to 523 of the family's 1533-position model. The record is from RNAcentral.